CUUUCGGAGCUGUGAGGCGACUGCGGGCAG
RNAcentral lists this non-coding RNA (30 nucleotides) under Cricetulus griseus (Chinese hamster). Lineage: Eukaryota; Metazoa; Chordata; Mammalia; Rodentia; Cricetidae. The record is from RNAcentral.